CAGCAUUUUCACAAGGACUGGAGGAAUCAUUACAUUUCAUUACUUUAGAGUAACACCACAUAUUAUUUUAUGUUUCUAGCUGAUGUUCAGGUUAAACUCCUGCUCUGUGGGUGUGCUAAGGCACUGUUUUGUCUCUUAUCGUACCAAUUUCCAUAGCAGUUUCAAGUUUUUGAAUAACACGAAAGGAAGUUACAAGGAAUCUAGUAAUCAUGUCUUUGAUUUGGGGUGGGCAUGGGGUCAAGACCAAGCAAACACAGCACCAAGCUCUCAAUUAACCCCUGGCCUUGAUUUCCUGGAUGAGCUUUGGUUUUAGGUAGAAGCCAUAGAAGAUAUUUGCACACCUGAACCAAUUUCAGCUCUACUUCUCUUUGACACACUGAAGUCUGCAGCUCCGAGCCGUGGCACGUGAUGGCCCAGUUGCAAGUCUAUGUGAAAGCAGUUGAGUUCAAUGCAAUUCUGUUUACUAUUUCUUUUUCCUGCCAUGAGAGAAACUCAUCUGUUUGCUUCCUGCCUUUACCAUAUGGUGCUGCAUCUUGCAAAGACGACGUAUAGAAACUAUUUGAUGUUUUUUUCAGGAAGGAUGUUUAAUCAUUCAACAGCCCCAGGCGAAUUUUACUCUCUUUUAAUUGAUGUUUAAAAACACAUACACUGCGGUCGUGCUUUUUUGUUGUUUUUCUGUUCCUGAAGCAGCAGUGAGUUUGCCUGCAAGUAACUGAGAGAUGUGGGUGGUAGGUUUUGGCAACAGGAUAGCUUUCACUUUUGCACUUCAUUUUGCUGAGAAUAAAAUGCAACAAGAAUUUUCACAUUUGUUUCAGUACCGUAUUUCAGAGAAGGUUUGGAAGUGAGGGUGCUGAAAUGUCUGUGGGUUUUUUUUUCUUUCCAGAAAGAAACUGCUGAGAAAUAACCUGCUCUGCAGAUGCCAACAGAGGGCACCUACGUCACAUUUAUUUUUCUUGGCAAACUCCCUUAUUUCUGAGCAAAUUUCCUUUUUCCUAUUAAAAGUUCGUAAGGUUUUCUGCUGACAGACGAACUCAAUGAACCUUUGUAAUUGUCUUGACUAGGUUUUGGUUUCUUCUCCUUCAAAACAAACAGGAGGAGGUGUUCACAUCUAUUAUACUGUCUGUCUCCUACACUCCCUAUUAUUGUACCAGAGUGUGUCACAGUUGUUUAAAAUGCUCUUAACCUCUUUUGUUCUGUUUCAGGAAGAACAUAGAGAAUAAAGUCAAGAUCCAGCAUAUCAUGUCAUCCAUGGGGAUUUCACGUCGAAUUUGAGCACCUGAGCCUCCUCCCUGCAUCUGGUGCGUGGAUUUUGACUACACAAGGCAUAUCUUCAACCUUUCAAAAGUCUCUUUUGUGCCCCUUCUUUGUCAACUGCUCCGCUCUUCUUCUGAACUAACUGCACUGAGUUUACCUGGUUGGUGAGAUGAACAGUCAGAUCAUCAGAUGUGGCAUCGUAAUUGCUACAGGUCAGCCGGACGUAGCCCUGGGCAAAAAACAACACAUAUGGUGCUGUGCAGGCGAUGAGGAGGUGCAGACGGAGCCCAGAGGAGCAGCCAGAAGUGCUGGGAAUGGACUAGAGGCAUAGCGCUGAGUCUUUGGAGUGGAAGAAGGGAGCUGAAAACCAAUGGGUGCAAUUCUGAAAAACCAACAUGAGGUCUGUGCACUAUCCCACACCAGGGCGGGUCCCCAGGAACCCCAAAAUUUGAGAGGCACCAACGAUCCUUGUGAAAGGGAAAUCCAAAGACCUUACAGAGCACAGUUAUCACAAGGAAACUGUAUUGUUUUCAACACUGAGAGAGCUUCAGUCCUCUCCCUGCUCACAAGAUCUUUCCAGGUGUGGAUUUUUACAAUAUUACAAUAAUGCAACACAAGCGUGUGUUAAAAAACACACCGAGUUCUCAAGAAAGAUCUCUGCAGCAGCCAAACACAUUACUACAGCUUCUUCAGCACAAAGCGUUGGCAGUGAAUACCUUUGCAAAGCCAAGACAAG
Molecule: non-coding RNA, 1990 nt
Organism: Meleagris gallopavo (turkey)
Lineage: Eukaryota; Metazoa; Chordata; Aves; Galliformes; Phasianidae
Source: RefSeq, a predicted model, not a curated record